Molecule: long non-coding RNA, 883 nt
Filed under: Musa acuminata (dwarf banana)
Lineage: Eukaryota; Viridiplantae; Streptophyta; Magnoliopsida; Zingiberales; Musaceae
Description: long non-coding RNA (MACU_LNC002018)
Source: RNAcentral
GCAUGCUCUCCCGGACUCUGUCGAGGGACGAAGGUGAAGAGACAGGUGAGAAGGACAUCCUUACCGGCUUUUGGAACGAACAAGAGAGACGACGAGGGAGCGACUGUGGGAUGGUGGCGUAGGAGAGGAGAAGGUGCGAUGGCAGAAAGAAACGACGAGGUCCAAGACUCAGCAGCAAAAAUCAUAAAACGGGCAGAGUACGCCAUUCAUGUAAGAAAAAUCCCGCCGAAAGAGACGUCCCUUCGUCUCCCCCUAGCGGCCGACAGCUCAUCCGCACACCCACUCGCAUCAGGGAAGACCAACGAACACCCCAUCAUAAAUGCGGACCCAAAGCCGCUGCAGGAAACGACGUGGAGAACGGCCACUGCGACUUCUCAACGCCUAAAAAGAACGACGAUCUUGCCGCAUGUUUCCCGAGACCACCUCCUCGGCGCGGCCAGCCCGCCCGAGACGUGCUCCUCGGCCGCAUGUUUCCCGAGACCACGUCCUCGGCGCGGCCAGCCCGCCCGAGACGUGCUCCUCGGCCGCAUGUUUCCCGAGACCACCUCCUCGGCGCGGCCAGCCCGUCCGAGACGUGCUCCUCGGCCGCAUGUUCCCCGAGACCACCUCCUCGGCGCGGCCAGCCCGCCCGAGACGUGCUCCUCGGCCGCAUGUUUCCCGAGACCACCUCCUCGGCGCGGCCAGCCCGUCCGAGACGUGCUCCUCGGCCGCAUGUUUCCCGAGACCACCUCCUCGGCGCGGCCAGCCCGCCCGAGACGUGCUCCUCGGCCGCAUGCUUCCCGAGACCACCUCCUCGGCACGGCCAGCCCGCCCGAGACGUGCUCCUCGGCCGCAUGUUUCCCGAGACCACCUCCUCGGCGCGGCCAGCCCGCCCGAGACGUGC